Long non-coding RNA from Schistocerca serialis cubense, 7661 nucleotides. RefSeq lists it as uncharacterized. The record is from RefSeq and is a predicted model, not a curated record. NCBI's taxonomy places the organism in Eukaryota, Metazoa, Arthropoda, Insecta, Orthoptera, Acrididae. The transcript is spliced from 3 exons.
CCACGCCCCUCCUAUCCGCAUUCUCAACUGCGGAUGACACGGCGGUCGGAUGGUCCCGAUGGGCCACUUGUGGCCUGAAGACGGAGUGCUUUUUUUUCUACGUGAGAUUGUAUGGCAUUCAUAUAGCUUUUUAAAAUCUCUAUUGCAAUCACUGCGACAUUCUGCUUAAACUGCCUUGCCUAAAAGCUACCAUCACUGUCCAACUUAAUUUCGUAUGGAGUUACUGUUAUGGGAAUAAAUAAAUCAGGGUGUACAAAACUGAAACUCAGUUGUUGAAAAUCACUACACGACACCAAGCAUCUACGUCUAAUAUAAAGCUGGGGACAGAAGAUGCCUCAAAGUAUGCAGUCUCACUAUUUGAAAGUCGGUAUCAAAACUGAUGCAAGAAGUCCUGAAGUUAUGUCUGUGUGAAUUCUCAAGCGAAAUGACUUUGGAUACAGAAAUGAGAAAGAAGAAAACAGAUAUAACAUAGAAUACGCAGCCUCGUCUGUUUCGUCGUUAGUAGGGCUGGUAGGAGGAAAACUGCAGUUCACUUAUAUUUUUGUCUGAAUUAUCAAACAGACUGUUCCCAGAAUCAAUUAACAAGAAUCACAGAAAGCGGACUUCAGAAAGAUAUAGCGCAGUAGGAAGGAAAGGAAACGACAACGCAAAUGAAAAGAGAACAAAAAAUGUAAUUUACUAAAAUCACUAAUAGUCUAUUUAUAAAACACUAACGUACGAAAACUGCAGUGUACAAGGGAUGCAGGCAACAGAGAUAAACUUAAGAAAUGGAUUCAGCAAUAAAAGUGAAGAAACAGGAAAAGACUGUAGCUGUGUUAGGAAAUGGAAAUCGUGUGCAGAAUAGUCAAACAUCGACUGAAAAGUGUAAUCGGAAAAUUCAGUAUUAAUGAACUACUGAAACAGCUAAGCAUCCUUCGGUUAUGGUUGCUAUUAUGAAUAGGAAACAACGAAUAAAGUGUACGUAAUCAGUGUUGUAGCUGUAGCUGCACAGAAUGAAAAGUAUUGUUGGGGGAAAUGUGAUUUAACAUUAACAAACAGGACUAAUACCUCGAAGUUAACGAGGAAGGAGAGAUCCACGAGGAGAGAAAGGGAAGAAAUAUCAGCAAUUUCGAUGUACAGUUUCAUAGAAUGCACGAAGGACGAGAAGUGCUGAAAAUAUAUUAACGCGAAAGAGCUAACAUUUACUGUAUUUGGUAUUACGGAAACAAGACUUCUGUUUAUUAGUUGUUUGCAGCGGAAUGCUAUGUGACGUCCAUAAGAAGAAUGCAGAAAGUGUUGAAGCAAUCCUAUUGUAUCAUUGCAAAAAGAUGAAAGGAAGAAGGAUACUGGAGAAAUAAGAGUGAGGAAAUUUAAACCCGUGUAUCAUCAAAUGCUUGUACGAAAGGAAAGAAAAACUAGACGAAAUUUCUGACAGCGCAGAAGUAAUUAAACUAGAAAUAGAAAUAUCCACAGAAAAUAAUAUUGCAAGGAAUAAAAGAAAAAGCAAUAUUUACAGAGGUGAAGAUGUUGACUAAAGUUGGAGCAGUGAGAAUUAAUAACAAAUGAGUCAGUAAAUUGAUACCUUACGCAAUAUGUAUUGUUGUUGACACUAUAAGUUCGGUAACUACAAGGUAAGACCAUCACCAACUUACAGCAGAAUCUUUGUGACAGCUGCAGGAAGUUAGGGAGAGAAGAAGCCUAGGCAAGGCACGAAACCAUCAGCGAAGGUACGAUGUAUCUUGAUAAUAAAUUGCGCCACUGAUUCUACCAACCUUCGCUGUGAAGUAUUAGCGAUGCACAAUGUACUGAGUAAAUAUGGUGAACAUAUAAACAGUUCGUUUGCGUGUAAGUGGUGACUGAAGAGUUGCCAUGAAAAAGGGAAUAAAACUGAGGGCACGAACAAGAUUUCUAUCAAUUCCACAGUUAAGGAGUUAAGGAUACCUUUAAGUGACAACGCUAUUGUACUUAAAAAUUUAUUGAAUUCAGUAGUCACAUACUUGAGGAACAGAUAGUGAGCCCAUGAAGGAUUCGUCGUCAUGUAUGUUUUCUGUGCGUCUGGCUGAAGAAUUCGUCCUGCCUCUUUAAACGUUCCAGUGAAAAAGGAAUGUAUCCACAGAAUACGAAUGAUUUACUGUGCAUUCAACGAGAUGGUGGUAGUCCGUGUACAAACUUCAGGUCAGCUUUCAAACUACACUCCGAUAUCAUUUCUUCAGAUAUUGCAUAGCAAAUGCCAAUGACAGACGUGCUAAAAAGAAUGGGAACAUUCAUAAGCAGUUAUAUUAGGUUAUUGAAAAUUGAAAUUAAGAUCUGCUUUGGUAACAGUAAUUAGUAACAGCGACUGAACUCGAGUAGAAAAAAAAUCACACGUUGUUAAACAGUUAAUGGAAUUAUGUUGUUUUCACUACUUUGAACAUGAAUACCUAAUUUUCAGGAAUCAAAUGUGUUCAUUUCUAAAGGGGUGGUUGAAUAUCAUCCAUUAUUUUAGACUUUGUAAUAUUCAGAAAAGUUUUUUAUUUUAUUAUUUUUACGUUGUGAUUUCUAACAGUGCGGUGCUAAAUGACAAGUACUAAGAUAAUAAAUAUCUAUGGGAUGAGGUAUUGUAUACUUUAUAUAUAAUCGGAGAAUAAUAUUAAGUAAAAACGAGAUAACUGACAAAGUAAUGUUACAUAAAAUAAGAGAUCACUUUGGCGUUUCGAGAGGAGGUAAGUGGAUUGCAGUCUGCCAGUCACCGAUCCAACUACAAAAGAUUUGUAGGUAAAAGUGUGAUGUAAUGAGUUUAUACGGUGUAUAUGUUGUUUUGUGUAUAUAAACUUAGAUGAGAGCUGUUAUACUAAAAGAAAGUAUAUGAAACGUUGACGCAACAUGACAAUGAAGCUUACUAUAAGUAGUCGAAAAUGCAAGCACAGAGUUCAACAAAGCUACCGAAACUGAAGUAGCUGUAGAUCAAAGUUGUGCUUUUGUGGUGCUGCGCAGAUAUUAGACAGUUAAUAUAAAAACGCAUGACGAGAAUUAUUCCAGUUGUGAAAAAGGAAAAGUAUCAUUCAAUUCCAGAUGCUGGUAAAAGGUGAAAAGGCAUUCUGAUGAAAACGUUACAGCCACUUACGUGAACAAGAGUGGAAGAAGACGACUCGGAAUUGCUAAAAAUCAGACAGAAUACCUCGAAAACUAGAUGAAAAGUUAGUCUCUUGUGGAGGAUUUACUCAAAGUUUAUAUUGAAUGUUUUAUUACAGUAACGAUAUUGCAGUUCUUUUCCAUAAUUUGUGAGUAUAUCUGACAAAUCAUUUUUCUGUUAAUAAUUUUUAUCAAUAACAUUAUGAAUGUAGUAGAUCUCUUGUAGUUUCUCAACAAGCUUCAGUAUACUACAUUGGUGCUGCAAUGAAGAGAAUAAUAUUAAAGGAACAAAAAAUUUAAGUUAAAGUUUGAAGAAUAUUGCGUCUGCUAAGGACAGUAUUCUUUUGAUGCAAUGCGUUUGAAAUUUAAAUGCCGAAACUGAAGUGAUCGUUGAAGUUCGGCUAGAAAUAAUAGUGAGGUUUUUUGUGAAACAUUCGUACACAGUAAAACUACAGAAUAUAAAGAAACAGCAUCAUUGUAUUCUGGAUAUAGACACUUUUUAGUUUUUUAUUACAAGUAAAAAUGCAUUCAGAAAGAUUAAGUCUUCCUUGAUAACAAAGGUAUUUUUGUAUUUCCUCUUGGAUCCUGUACUGAAAGUCUAAACUUCAGCGAUACCAUCAAUUCUCCCACAACGUUUGCCAGUUCGGUGGAUAUGAAGUUGUAGUUCAUGAAUGCAAUUAUUUAUCAACACGAUUUACAAGGACAUGCUUUAGAAAAACAUUUGAACUUAGUUGUUGUCAUGAACUGAAUUCAUAGCUGACUGUAAAAAAGAAUUUUAAAAAAGUGUAAUGAAUUCUUUUGGCACCGUUCAGUACAAUGAUACAGAUCAGAAAUAAACAAGGUGGAAGAAAUUACAAUGAGUGGAUGAUCUUACAAUGUAAUAAAAUGUUCAGUUAAUGCAAGGAUCUGCAUGUCACUUCAGUGCUCAGGUUCCGUAUGUACAGCGUCGUAAGGAACAGGAGAUGUUAGAGUGAAGAGUGAGCAAGUAUCAACAGUAUCAAAGAGCAUGAAAUCAAAACUUGUUGCUGUACGUAGUGAAACACCAAUACGGCUGUUGCAUGAGUAUUCGCCUUUCAAAGCUCUUAGAAUGUGGAAGAUGAAGCUUACAUGUCCUCUCAUCUUGACGCAGUGAUGUUUCUCAACACGCCGCCUGGCCGUAAGCAUCGAGUGCGCAGGAGGAGCUGCGCUCGAUGGCGAUCCGCGAGGCGGCGCGCAUGUACCUGCACCACCCGUCCUCGUACUACCUGUCGGCGGGCCCCUACCUGCCGCACACGGCCAUGUACCCGGCGCACACGCCGCCCGCCGUCUUCCCGCCGCCGCUGCACAUGGGGCCGCCGCUGCCCUUCGCCGUGCCGCCGUCGCCCGAGUCUCCGCCGCAGUCGCGACCGCCCACCAUGUAGCCAGCCGGCGCAGCACAGUUGUCGUCGACCGAAUGUUGCCAGCCAGUGAGUGCUCUGGAGCCGACGACUUGCUGAGUGAUCACCACCAUCGAGGCGUCGCGAGGUCUUGGGGACAGCCCAUGCGUCUGGUCCGCCUGCCCUCUGUCGGUCGUGUGGGGCGACAUAUCCUGGAAGAAGAUGGAGAGUGGAUAUUGGUAGUGAGCAUUAUGAACUUGCUAUUUUCGUGAUCAUUCAAAUUUUAAUAUGUAAUAUGUUACCCAGGAGGAAAAGUGAAAACAUGGUUGUGUAAGGAGUAAGAGACUAAAGAUAAAAAAUAUAACCGAACUGUACCAGACUAGUGGCAAGAUGUAGUAAGGUGCUGUGCAGUUUCCACCAUGUUAAGGGCGCCACAAAUGACUUUUUUGAUGUAGCAGUAAUAAGUAAAUAUUGUGCUGUGUAUGAAGUAAAGUGCUAAUAAUCCAAAGAUCUCAUAAUGAUGGUAGAAAUUAGGUCUCCAGAUCUACAAAUUUGGCGCAGGUGUGUCGAUGUGAAUGCAACCAACGUGUGACUUCUGCUGUCAUGUCUGAAAUGAAAACAAAAUGCUUCUAAUCUCUGGGAUGCGCACUACAUUCAGUUUCUUCAGCAUAUUCAGUGGAAAAAUAUCCUUAAUAGACACUUUCAACGUCAUCUUGGAGUUCAUGGAAGGAGCAGUACAUGCUGUAAUUUCAGUGCACACACACACACACACACACACACACACACACACACACACACACACACAUACCCACAGAGGAAAAAGUUAAAUGUGUUUGUAUAGCCACCUUGUAAACUUCCUAUAGAGUCAGGCAUUUUUAUGCAGUUUUAAAACAAUAUGAUAUUGUGAAAUAGUUUGGAAUAAAUGUUUAUUGGAGAGCCUGAACUACGCCUGUUUAUUUUUCCCAUAAAAAGAAAAUUUUGUCAUAUUAAAUAAUGAUAUUUUUAAAAUUUGGAACAGGAUAAAAAUAUGGAACAUCAUUCUUAUUUCUAACUUGUUAUGGUGGUAAUAGUUCCAACUGGAAAUUCAAUCGAAAAAUAAGUGUCAAACACUUUUUAGUUUGGACACAUUAUUGUUCAUAUCUAUUUGCUACUCUGUAUGUUAAUAUGUGAUUGUUUACUUUGGAGAAACUAUGAUGUGAACUCAUGUAUAUAAUUUAUUGUUGUCACCUGCUAUUAUUAUUCUAGAUUGUUGAGAGUAUUUCUGUUGUUACUACAGCUGUCCUAUAUACAUUAAUAUGGCUAUACUGUCAUCGUUAUUAACUGAGAACAGAAACUGGUGCUGUAAAUGGACCUAUGAAACAAUUAUAUUGUCUCAUCUGUUUAGGAGCUUUAUGUUUGACAUCUCAACACACUGCAAAGACUUGAUACAGUAAACCAAGAGAGAGACUACAUAGAGGGCAGGUGUCAAUGUGUUUUACUUGUUCCAGAAUCAGAAAUUAAUAAAUAACUUUUUAUUAAUUUUUAUAGCCAGCCAGCCUGCAGUUGUAAAUUAUUUAGUACUGAACAGCUCCUAUAAAGCAAAUAAAGUAAUUUUAGUGAUCUGCAAGAGCAGAAAAAGAUAAUGAACCUCUCUGCAAAGGGGUAUUCAUCACAUGUGUUGGAUUAAUACUAAGAUUUAAAGGCACAUUUCGAAAUAUUCUUUUCUGUACUCAAAAUUCUCCCAUGACUUACAUAGCAAAUUGGUAAUGACUGCCCAUUGAGUUUCCUUUUGAUGUUCACUUGUGAGAAAGUAAAACAAAAAUGAUUGUGUUUUGUAGUCUACUUCAUCAAAAUUCCUCCACAUAUGUACACUAAUUUAAAUAUGACUUACUCCAAGUUGAUAUACAUUUACUGUUUUUCAAUAUAUAGAUCAUCUACAUCAAUAUAAAACUGUGUGAGCAUGUAAAACAGUUUUACUAUCAACUACAUAAAGAAGUACGUUUACUUGAUGUUAGAUGUAAUGAUGUUAAAUUAGGUGUAGAAAACACAUAGUUUUGAUGACAUAUAAUGAAUUCAUAAAUAUAUUUCCCACAAAUUCAAUAUAAAUAGAUCGUAUUUGGCCAUAUUUAGCAGUCACUUUAUAUAUUGGUGUAUACAACACUCUUUAAUAUGAAAUUUCUAUUGAUGUCAAUGUUUAAAGAAGAAAUUUAGCUUCAGUGUUUUAUAAUAAAAUUAUAUUCUAUAUAUAAUUAUGUAAUUAGUAUUAUAUCGCCGAAAAUCUUCUAUUUUAGUAACAACACAGUUACUAAUAAACUUCUGUGUGUGUAUAAUAUUUCCCUAAAUUAUUCACACAGGCUUUGAAUGGCACAUUUAAUGGAAGAAGAUGGUUAUCUAUCUGAAUCAAAUAUAAAUUAAUAAUUGAAUCUUCAGAGAUAUGUAUAUAAACAAUUAUGUUUUCUAGAUGUUUUAAUUGAGGGGAAAUAAAAUGUGAAUGCUUUUAUGAAAAAUGUAAUGAGAGGCUAUAACCAUAAUAGCUAUUAUGAUCAAAUCAAAGAAGUUUCUAAAGCAUUGAGUACCAUUCUCUUUCUGUUCACAAGACUUCAAUUCUUCUAUUGCGUCCAUUUGCUGUAAAGAUAUUAUCAGAAUAUUUUUUAUAAUGUACACAGCAUGCCAAUCAUGGUCCUUAUACUUUUUUAAAAGAAUUGAUUUUUGUACUGUUGUACUUUAGAAAGGCAAACUUUUGAAAAAUAUUAUAGUUUCUUGAAGCCAAUAGCUAUAAGAAUUUAAAAGUAUUCACAAAGUAAUGAUGAAGACGACCUUCCAUUAAAAACAAAAAUUGUCAAUGACACAUCAGAACACCCAUCCGAAUUAAUUAUUAUAAUGUACUUAUUAAUGUUAUAUGUCAAUGGUAUAUGUGGUAGUGUGAAAUAUUAAUAUGUACACUGAUGCAGUGUGUAAAAGGCUAAGUUGUAUGUAAAUGCUUCAAAUUUGUGCAUGUAGUAUUACAUACCUAAUUCAAAAUAUAUAGUGUUGUUGUCUGAUUCAAAAUCAACUUUAUGUUGAAAAGUCUUAGUUGGGAAUGAAUGUUUGUUUUAACACAGAUUGCUUGGAGGACUUGUGAUAUCCUAUUCCCUCCUAUUUAUGUGCUAUGACCUCCUACAUAUUUUGUAACUGCUAUUACAAUUGUAAUAUUAAUGAAACUAGUAGCUAUUAAUUAAAAUAUUUUCAAAUAUAUUA